CAGUCGCCGCGGGAAUACGGAGGGUGCAAGCGUUAAUCGGAAUUACUGGGCGUAAAGCGCACGCAGGCGGUUUGUUAAGUCAGAUGUGAAAUCCCCGAGCUUAACUUGGGAACUGCAUUUGAAACUGGCAAGCUAGAGUCUUGUAGAGGGGGGUAGAAUUCCAGGUGUAGCGGUGAAAUGCGUAGAGAUCUGGAGGAAUACCGGUGGCGAAGGCGGCCCCCUGGACAAAGACUGACGCUCAGGUGCGAAAGCGUGGGGAGCAAACAGGAUUAGAUACCCCAGUAGUCCCUGUCUCUUAUAA
Molecule: ribosomal RNA, 301 nt
Filed under: uncultured bacterium
Lineage: Bacteria
Description: partial 16S ribosomal RNA
Rfam family: Bacterial small subunit ribosomal RNA
Source: RNAcentral